AGAAAACUUCUGGAAUACUUAAUUAUGGUUAUAGAAUAGUAUGUUAUGUAAAUGUUCUCAAUGUUCACAUUGUGUGCUGAAAUGCCCUGUGUGGUGAAGGUGGUAGUAAUAUGAAGGAGUGGUCAAAGGAAGUGCUAAUGUUAUCUUAUGACAUGAAGAACCGAGAGACAUUAUUUUUAUUGGAUGGAUGUUGAAGUAAAACCAUAUGUUACUAUAAAUAACAAAGAAUGUGACUGUGUUUGGAGUGGGGCCUUCGAAGAGGACGUUUAAAUGAAAUCAUUACAGUAGGCCUAAAAUCAAUAUGACUGGUGUUCCUAUAAGGAGAAGAGAUUAAGUUGCACACAGAGGGAAGACCAUGAGCAGACAUGGGGAGAAGACGGCCCCCUACAAGCCAAGAAGAAAGACUUCAGAGGAAUCAACCCUGCUAAAAUCUUGAUCUUGGACUUCAAGACACCAGAAAUGAGAAAAUAACUUUCUGUUGUGUAAGCCACCCCAGCUGUGGUACUUUGUUAUGGCAGUCCUAGGAAACUAUGCACCACAGGCUCUCUCACAUGUCUUUUACAAAGGCACUAAUCCUAUUCAUGAGGGUUCUGACCUCAUGACUUAAUCACCUCCCCAAAGGCCUCACCUCCUAGUAGUAUCCCACUAAAGAUUAGGUUCCAACAUCCAAAUUUGCAGGGAGGAGGGGACACCAACAUUUGGAUGAUAGCACAAGUGGUAGACAAAGCUUGGAAACAGUUAUAUUGGGAAAUGACUUUCUUAAUGUUUACACUUCAUAAUAUGCUCUUCUCAGAAACCAAAAAUGUGAGUGUCGAUGAGGGCUUUGGCUCAUGGUCAAGGACAGAAAGAAUGAGAAAAAAAUGGCUUGAAGAUAUGUUUCUAAGGUCAAGCCAGCAGACCUGGUUAAUUAAUACAAUGCGUAGGUGAGAGGAGAAGAAACACGGAUGAGCCUAAGCUUAAGCUUUCUGAAGCUGAAUAAAUGGAGAUGGAGUUGCCUGGGAAAGGAGCAGGAUUUCAAAUACCAGAAGACAAUGAGAUAGAGAGGAGCAAGAAAAGUUAGCCGUGGAAAGACACAGUGCAAUGCAUUCCACUCGUGUAUCUGAAAACAGAGAACCCAUGAACGAUAAGACAAUAAACUUGAGUGGAGGGAAGGACAAUAAUCCUGUUCCCUUGCUUCUCAGAAUACAAGAUAAAAUGGUUAAAAUCCCUGAAUGAAUUACGUUUCAUUGGAAAAUGUGCAGUUGUCCCUUCGGUUCUUG
Molecule: long non-coding RNA, 1259 nt
Filed under: Homo sapiens (human)
Lineage: Eukaryota; Metazoa; Chordata; Mammalia; Primates; Hominidae
Description: HSALNT0375139
Source: RNAcentral